Molecule: ribosomal RNA, 486 nt
Filed under: uncultured bacterium
Lineage: Bacteria
Description: partial 16S ribosomal RNA
Rfam family: Bacterial small subunit ribosomal RNA
Source: RNAcentral
AUUGAACGCUGGCGGCAUGCCUAACACAUGCAAGUCGAACGGUAACAGGUGUAGCACUCCCUGCUGACGAGUGGCGGACGGGUGAGGGUUACUUGGGAAUCUGCCUCUUAGUGGGGGAGAACCCGGGCAAACUCGCGCUAAUACCGCAUACGCUCUACGGAGACCAGCGGGUGCCCGUGAGGCCUCGCGCUUACCGGUGAGCCCAAGUCGGAUUAGCUAGUUGGUGGGGUAAAGGCCUACCAAGGCGACGCUCCGUAGCUGGUCUGAGAGGACGAUCAGCCACACUGGAACUGAGACACGGUCCAGACUCCUACGGGAGGCAGCAGUGGGGAAUAUUGGACAAUGGGCGCAAGCCUGAUCCAGCAAUGCCGCGUGUGUGAAGAAGGCCUGCGGGUUGUAAAGCACUUUUGGCAGGGAAGAAAAGCAGUGGAUUAAUAACCCAGUGUGUUGACGGAACCUGAAGAAGAAGCACCGGCUAACUCCGUG